RNAcentral lists this ribosomal RNA (730 nucleotides) under Staphylococcus warneri. RNAcentral's name for it is "bacterial SSU rRNA". It matches the Rfam family "Bacterial small subunit ribosomal RNA", at positions 122 to 839 of the family's 1533-position model. Lineage: Bacteria; Bacillati; Bacillota; Bacilli; Caryophanales; Staphylococcaceae. The record is from RNAcentral.
UAACCUACCUAUAAGACUGGGAUAACUUCGGGAAACCGGAGCUAAUACCGGAUAACAUAUUGAACCGCAUGGUUCAAUAGUGAAAGGCGGCUUUGCUGUCACUUAUAGAUGGAUCCGCGCCGUAUUAGCUAGUUGGUAAGGUAACGGCUUACCAAGGCAACGAUACGUAGCCGACCUGAGAGGGUGAUCGGCCACACUGGAACUGAGACACGGUCCAGACUCCUACGGGAGGCAGCAGUAGGGAAUCUUCCGCAAUGGGCGAAAGCCUGACGGAGCAACGCCGCGUGAGUGAUGAAGGUCUUCGGAUCGUAAAACUCUGUUAUCAGGGAAGAACAAAUGUGUAAGUAACUGUGCACAUCUUGACGGUACCUGAUCAGAAAGCCACGGCUAACUACGUGCCAGCAGCCGCGGUAAUACGUAGGUGGCAAGCGUUAUCCGGAAUUAUUGGGCGUAAAGCGCGCGUAGGCGGUUUUUUAAGUCUGAUGUGAAAGCCCACGGCUCAACCGUGGAGGGUCAUUGGAAACUGGAAAACUUGAGUGCAGAAGAGGAAAGUGGAAUUCCAUGUGUAGCGGUGAAAUGCGCAGAGAUAUGGAGGAACACCAGUGGCGAAGGCGACUUUCUGGUCUGUAACUGACGCUGAUGUGCGAAAGCGUGGGGAUCAAACAGGAUUAGAUACCCUGGUAGUCCACGCCGUAAACGAUGAGUGCUAAGUGUUAGGGGUUUCCGCCCC